UAUGCUUAACACAUGCAAGUCGAACGGUAACGGUCCUUCGGGAGCCGACGAGUGGCGGACGGGUGAGUAACGCGUAGGAAUCUGCCUGGUAGUGGGGGACAACGUGGGGAAACUCACGCUAAUACCGCAUACGCCCUGAGGGGGAAAGCGGGGGAUCUUCGGACCUCGCGCUAUCAGAUGAGCCUGCGUUGGAUUAGCUAGUUGGUAGGGUAAAGGCCUACCAAGGCGACGAUCCAUAGCUGGUCUGAGAGGACGAUCAGCCACACUGGGACUGAGACACGGCCCAGACUCCUACGGGAGGCAGCAGUGGGGAAUAUUGGACAAUGGGCGCAAGCCUGAUCCAGCAAUACCGCGUGUGUGAAGAAGGCCUGAGGGUUGUAAAGCACUUUCAAUAGGGAGGAAAAAGCGUUGGCGAAUACCCGAUGCCUUGACAUUACCUAUAGAAGAAGCACCGGCUAACUCCGUGCCAGCAGCCGCGGUAAUACGGAGGGUGCGAGCGUUAAUCGGAAUUACUGGGCGUAAAGCGUGCGUAGGCGGCUGUUUAAGUCAGAUGUGAAAGCCCCGGGCUUAACCUGGGAACGGCAUUUGAUACUGGGCAGCUAGAGUUUAGGAGAGGAGAGUGGAAUUUCCGGUGUAGCGGUGAAAUGCGU
Molecule: ribosomal RNA, 650 nt
Filed under: uncultured bacterium
Lineage: Bacteria
Description: bacterial SSU rRNA
Rfam family: Bacterial small subunit ribosomal RNA
Source: RNAcentral